This 918-nucleotide ribosomal RNA is filed under the name uncultured bacterium. RNAcentral's name for it is "bacterial SSU rRNA". It matches the Rfam family "Bacterial small subunit ribosomal RNA", at positions 1 to 918 of the family's 1533-position model. The record is from RNAcentral.
UUAGAGUUUGAUCCUGGCUCAGGAUGAACGCUAGCUACAGGCUUAACACAUGCAAGUCGAGGGGCAGCGGGAUUGAAGCUUGCUUCAAUUGCCGGCGACCGGCGCACGGGUGAGUAACGCGUAUGCAACCUGCCCUUCACAGGGGGAUAACCGGGAGAAUUCCGACUAAUACCGCAUACGUCCUCCGGGGGCAUCCCCUGGGGAUGAAAGAUUUAUCGGUGAAGGAUGGGCAUGCGUGAUAUUAGGUAGUUGGCGGGGCAACGGCCCACCAAGCCCACGAUAUCUAGGGGUUCUGAGAGGAAGGUCCCCCACAUUGGUACUGAGACACGGACCAAACUCCUACGGGAGGCAGCAGUGAGGAAUAUUGGUCAAUGGACGAGAGUCUGAACCAGCCAAGUCGCGUGAAGGAAGACGGAUCUAUGGUUUGUAAACUUCUUUAGUGCGGGAACAAAGCGGCGUCGUGACGCCGGAUGAGUGUACCGCAAGAAUAAGCAUCGGCUAACUCCGUGCCAGCAGCCGCGGUAAUACGGAGGAUGCGAGCGUUAUCCGGAUUUAUUGGGUUUAAAGGGAGCGCAGGCUGCGAGGCAAGUCAGCGGUCAAAUGUCGGGGCUCAACCCCGGCCUGCCGUUGAAACUGUCCUGCUAGAGUUCGAGUGAGGUAUGCGGAAUGCGUUGUGUAGCGGUGAAAUGCAUAGAUAUGACGCAGAACUCCGAUUGCGAAGGCAGCAUACCAACUCGCGACUGACGCUGAGGCUCGAAAGCGUGGGUAUCGAACAGGAUUAGAUACCCUGGUAGUCCACGCAGUAAACGAUGAAUACUAACUGUUCGGAGGGCGACCUCUGAGUGGUAAAGCGAAAGUGUUAAGUAUUCCACCUGGGGAGUACGCCGGCAACGGUGAAACUCAAAGGAAUUGACGGAA